GGCACUUUGGUUCAAUGGUAGAAUUCUUGCCUUCCAUGCGGGAGGCCUGGGUUAGAUUCCUGGCCA
Molecule: transfer RNA, 66 nt
Filed under: Loxodonta africana (African savanna elephant)
Lineage: Eukaryota; Metazoa; Chordata; Mammalia; Proboscidea; Elephantidae
Rfam family: tRNA
About the family: Transfer RNA (tRNA) molecules are approximately 80 nucleotides in length.
Source: Rfam by way of RNAcentral